Gossypium raimondii (Peruvian cotton) is the source of this 107-nucleotide small nucleolar RNA. It matches the Rfam family "Plant small nucleolar RNA R71". From Rfam's summary of the family: R71 is a member of the C/D box family of snoRNAs containing the C (UGAUGA) and D (CUGA) box motifs. Lineage: Eukaryota; Viridiplantae; Streptophyta; Magnoliopsida; Malvales; Malvaceae. The record is from Rfam.
AACCCAUGGUGAGGGCACCGUCUCAAUAAGUCCUUAUACCUCUCCCAUGCAUCAUAUAGGGUCUCUAACCACAAAUUUGGUUUCGAAAGAAAUAUUAUUUUUAUAUU